This 849-nucleotide ribosomal RNA is filed under the name uncultured Sphaerochaeta sp. RNAcentral describes it as "bacterial SSU rRNA". It matches the Rfam family "Bacterial small subunit ribosomal RNA", at positions 8 to 850 of the family's 1533-position model. The record is from RNAcentral. Lineage: Bacteria; Pseudomonadati; Spirochaetota; Spirochaetia; Spirochaetales; Sphaerochaetaceae.
AGAGUUUGAUCCUGGCUCAGAACGAACGCUGGCGGCGCGUUUUAAGCAUGCAAGUCGAGCGGCAAGGGCCUUUGGGCCCCUAGAGCGGCGGACGGGUGAGUAACACGUGGACAAUCUGCCCCCCGGCCGGGGAUAGCCCAGGGAAACCUGGAUUAAUACCGGAUGAGACGGGACCCGCGGAGGCGGGAUCCGGGAAAGGCGCUGCGGCGCCGCCGGGGGAUGAGUCUGCGUCCCAUUAGCUAGACGGCGGGGUGAAGGCCCACCGUGGCGACGAUGGGUAGCCGGCCUGAGAGGGUGGACGGCCACAUUGGAACUGAGACACGGUCCAGACUCCUACGGGAGGCAGCAGCUAAGAAUCUUCCGCAAUGGGCGAAAGCCUGACGGAGCGACGCCGCGUGAACGAAGAAGGCCGUGAGGUUGUAAAGUUCUUUUCGGGAGGGGGAACAACCGUGGCAGGGAAUGGCCGCGGGAUGACGUGAAUCCCGGAAUAAGCCCCGGCUAACUACGUGCCAGCAGCCGCGGUAACACGUAGGGGGCGAGCGUUGUUCGGAAUCAUUGGGCGUAAAGGGCGUGCAGGCGGUCCUGCAAGUCCGGCGUGAAAGACCCCGGCCCAACCGGGGGGGCGCGCUGGAAACUGCAGGGCUUGAGUACAGGAGGGGAUGCCGGAAUUCCAGGUGUAGGGGUGAAAUCUGUAGAUAUCUGGAAGAACACCAAUGGCGAAGGCAGGCAUCUGGCCAUGUACUGACGCUGAGACGCGAAGGUGCGGGGAGCAAACAGGUUUAGAUACCCUGUAGUCCGCACAGUAAACGAUGUGCACCAGGUGGCGGGGGGUCGACCCCCGGUACCGUA